Long non-coding RNA from Onychostruthus taczanowskii (white-rumped snowfinch), 954 nucleotides. RefSeq lists it as uncharacterized. The record is from RefSeq and is a predicted model, not a curated record. The transcript is spliced from 3 exons. NCBI's taxonomy places the organism in Eukaryota, Metazoa, Chordata, Aves, Passeriformes, Passeridae.
UGGGAGACAUUUAUCCUGUGGAGAUACAAUGUCCAGCUCUGGACUCUGCUAUCUCUGACAUGCUCCAGCAGCCCAGGGCUCCUGUCUGAAGCUGGCACAUGGAUUUGAGCCUGGCUUCUUGCCCUGUCCCACUUGGAGGGCAGGCUGGGGACAGGGUGGAGGGAGGUGACAGUGUGCUGCUCCUUGGUGCCAGAGGAAAAGGGCAGAGGGAACUGGACAGGGAACAGUGUCUCCUGUGCUGGGACUGGAGCCCCAGCAUGCAAAGGGGAGAUCAAAAGCUGAUUUUGCCCUAAGUCCCUUCUCUUCUCUCACCAAAAUCAGGGAAGGAGCAAUCAGCCCUAGGGUGUCUCCUCUGGGAGAUGGGGCUGUCAGUGGGACAGGGGAGUGUUGGGACACCUGGAGAUGAAGCCCAUGGCAGCUGGAGGUGGCAUCUGACCCAGACUGAGCUUGGGACGAUGAUGCAGCGGUAACCCUUCAAUGCAGCCACCAGUGCCAGCCCAAUCCCUGCAUGGGGGGAGCAGAGGGAACUGGUUGGCACCAGAAUUUGGCAAGAGCAACGGAUGGGCGCCGCUGCUCGCGCUCCUCUCUGGAUGGAACCAAGGAGUGGCCACUGACCAGCCACGGCAGGGGAAUGGUCUCUGGGAACCUCUGAGAAUUCAAAAGCUUCCCAGCCUGAAAACACCCAGGGUUGCCCCAGCCCCUGAUGCUGUCUGCCUUGCCACAAGGAGACCUUCCAGGCACACCUGUGCAGGUGUGGGACCCUCACAGAAACCUCAGGAAUUUCAGCAAGGAGGCACCUCAGCAUCCCAGGAAGCCCAUGACCACCAGGAGGGGAGCUGAGGGGAGGAUGGAGCCAGAGCCCACCUCGUAACUCCAAAUGCAAAUCCCUGCUCCUCAGAAAUUCCACCCUGCCCAGUUCCCAGGCAGAGGGAGCAUCCCUGCCCUUCCCACCUG